This 405-nucleotide ribosomal RNA is filed under the name uncultured bacterium. RNAcentral's name for it is "partial 16S ribosomal RNA". It matches the Rfam family "Bacterial small subunit ribosomal RNA", at positions 30 to 526 of the family's 1533-position model. The record is from RNAcentral.
AUUGAACGCUGGCGGCAGGCCUAACACAUGCAAGUCGAACGAGUGGCGGACGGGUGAGUAAUGUCUGGGAAACUGCCCGAUGGAGGGGGAUCACUACUGGAAACGGUAGCUAAUACCGCAUACCAUCGGAUGUGCCCAGAUGGGAUUAGCUAGUAGGUGGGGUAACGGCUAACCUAGGCGCCGAUCCCUAGCUGGUCGGAGAGGUUGACCAGCCAAACGGGAAUUGAGACACGGGCCAGACUCCUACUGGAGGCGGCAGUGGGGAAUAUUGCACAAUGGGCGCAAGCCUGAGGCAGCCAUGCCGGGGGUAUGAAGAGGGCCUUCGGGUUGUAAAGUACUUUCAUCGAGGAGGCGUUACUCGCAGAAGAAGCACCGGCUAACUCCGUGCCAGAGCCGCGGUAAUAC